GGUUUGAUUAUGGCUCAGAUUGAACGCUAUGGAUAAGCAUAUGCAAGUCGAACGGCAGCACGGACUUCGGUCUGGUGGCGAGUGGCGAACGGGUGAGUAAUGCAUCGGAACGUGCCUAGUAGCGGGGAUAAUCACGCAGCGUGAAUGCCAUUAUUUCGCCGCCCUUCUGGGAAAGCGGGGACCUUCGGCCUCGCACCAUUAGAGCGGCUGAUAUUUGAUACUGAAGCUGUUGUGGGGUAACGGCUCACCAAGGCGACAUCCUGCAGUUGGUUUGAGAGGACGACCAGCCACACUGGGACUGAGACACGCCCAGACUCCUACGGAGGCAGCAGUGGGGAAUUUCCGACAAUGGGGAAACCCGAUCCAGCCAUCCCGCGUGCGAUGGGAAGGCUUCGGGCCAAAGCACUUUUUGCAGGAAAAAGAAAAACGCAUGCACUGGAUAAUACCCCGUGCAACUGAUUUGCGGCCUGUAGAAUAAGCACUGGCUAAUCACUGUGCCAAGGCCGCGGUAAUACGUAGGUGCAAGCGUUAAUCGGAAUACUGGGCGUAAAGCGUGCGUAGGCGGUUCGGAAAGAAAGAUGUGAAAUCCCAGAGCUUAACUUUGGAACUGCAUUUUUAAUCAAUGAGCAGAGGUGUCAGAGUGGGAGGUGGAAUUCCGCGUGUAGCAGUGUGGAAUGCGAUGAGGUGCGGAGGAACAAUUGAUAUGCAGGCUGCAGCCCUCCCUGGGAAACACUGACGCUCAUGCACGAAAGCGCAGAGCAAACAGGAUUAGAGAUGCUCCUGGUAGUCCACGCCCUAAACGAUGUCAACUAGCUGUUGGGGCCUCGGGCCUUGUAGCGCAGCUAACGGUGAAGUUGACCGCCUGGGGAGUAUUGUCGCAAGAUUAAAACUCAAAGGAAUGACGGGACUGUGGCCAGCGUGGAUGAUGUGGAUUAAUUCGAUAAACGCGAAAACCUUACCUACCCUUGACAUGUCUGGAAUCCCGAAGAGACUGGGAGUGUUCGCAAGAGGUCCGGAACACAGGUGCUGCAUGGCUGUCGUCAGCUCGUGUCGAGAUGCUGUUGUCUCAACGAGCGCAACCUCGUCAUUAUUGCUGCUUAGGCACACUCUAAUGAGACUGCCGGUGACGAAAUCUUGGAGGAAGGUGACGAUGACGUCAAGUCCUCAUGGCCCUUGCGGUAGGGUCACACGUCAUACCGUCGGGACAGAGGGCCAACCCCGCGAGGGGGAGCCAAUCCCAGAACCGAUCGGGUCCGGAUCGCAGUCUGUAAAUCGACUGCGCAGCUGGGAAUCGCUAGUAAUCGCGGAUCAGCAUGUCGUGGUAACAUGCCCGGGUCUUGUACACACGCCGUCACAUCAUGGGAGGGUUUCACGGUAUAGUUAGUCUGAAUCGUGGCAGAGGGCGAUUACCACGGUAGGAUUCAUGACUGGGGUGAAGUCGCAUCGAAGGGUAGUUUCACAUACCCGAUGCUCCUUGUGGAGCAAUGCAA
This 1490-nucleotide ribosomal RNA is filed under the name uncultured Bordetella sp. RNAcentral describes it as "partial 16S-23S ribosomal RNA intergenic spacer". It matches the Rfam family "Bacterial small subunit ribosomal RNA". Lineage: Bacteria; Pseudomonadati; Pseudomonadota; Betaproteobacteria; Burkholderiales; Alcaligenaceae. The record is from RNAcentral.